Molecule: long non-coding RNA, 230 nt
Filed under: Lathyrus oleraceus (garden pea)
Lineage: Eukaryota; Viridiplantae; Streptophyta; Magnoliopsida; Fabales; Fabaceae
Description: Pisum sativum (pea) long non-coding RNA (PSAT_LNC038673)
Source: RNAcentral
AAAAAACUCAUAAGGUUUCCUCUUCUUCAUCGCGAAACAUCGAUCAUCCCCAACCACCAUCAAUAACCUUUCUUUUCAGAAACCUAUUUCGUUGUGACCACCACAUAACCGAUGCUUCCGUUCGUCUGUGACCCACCCAUUGUUCCACCUAUUUCAAGCACACCUCACACCCACCUCAACAGCCGCGUAACCACCACGAAACAACCUCUCAUCUCAAAUCUUUGAAUCAC